Molecule: non-coding RNA, 596 nt
Filed under: Ixodes scapularis (black-legged tick)
Lineage: Eukaryota; Metazoa; Arthropoda; Arachnida; Ixodida; Ixodidae
Description: Eukaryotic large subunit ribosomal RNA
Rfam family: Eukaryotic large subunit ribosomal RNA
Source: Rfam by way of RNAcentral
CAGCCCGGAGCCUUCGCAAGAGGGUGGGCUUAAAACGGCUUCCGUGCGCAAGUCCCGAUUAAAACAAAAAAAAAAUUAAAUAGCCAAAUGACUCGUCAUCUAAUUAGUGACGCGCAUGAAUGGAUUAACAAGAUUCCCGCUGUCCCUAUCUACUAUUUAACGAAACCACAGCCAAGGGAACGGGCUUGGAAAAAUCAGCGGGGAAAGAAGACCCUCUUGAGCUUGACUCUAGUCUUCACUCUGUGAAGAGACAUGAGAGGUGUAGCAUAAGUGGGAGGCCGUUAACCCUCGUGGUUGUGUCACGCCGACAGUGAAAAACCACUACUUUCAUCGUUUCUUUACAUACUCGGUGAAGCGGAAAGCGGACCAUGAGUGUCCACGCUUCUAGCACUAAGUGCAAGGCCCUUCGCUGGCCCGCACGAUCUGUUCCGAGGACAGUGUAAGGCGGGGAGUUUGAUUGGGGCGGUAGCCGACAAGUACGCUAAGGUCAACAAGUACGUGAAAUUCCGUGAAGUUGGAAGUGGGCCAAAGAUGUCCAGGUGGACGUUCUUAAAGCGUGAGGAUGGUAGGGGAAACUUUCCGAGUGGUGUUUGCGU